RNAcentral lists this ribosomal RNA (406 nucleotides) under uncultured bacterium. Its description in RNAcentral is "partial 16S ribosomal RNA". It matches the Rfam family "Bacterial small subunit ribosomal RNA", at positions 30 to 526 of the family's 1533-position model. The record is from RNAcentral.
AUUGAACGCUGGCUGCAGGCCUAACACAUGCAAGUCUAACGAGUGGCGGACGGGUGAGUAAUGUCUGGGAAACUGCCUGAUGGAGGGGGAUAACUACUGGAAACGGUAGCUAAUACCGCAUACCAUCGGAUGUGCCCAGAUGGGAUUAGCUAGUAGGUGGGGUAAAGGCUCACCUAGGCGACGAGCCCUAGCUUGUCUGAGCGGAUGACCAGCCACACUGGAACUGAGACCAGGUCCAGACUCCUACGGGAGGCAGCAGUGGGGAAUAUUGCACAAGGGGCGCAAGCCUGAUGCAGCCAUGCCGCGUGGAUGGAGAAGGCCGUCGGGUUGUAAAGUACUUUCAGCGGGGAGGCGUUACCCGCAGAAGAAGCACCGGCUAACUCCGUGCCAGCAGCCGCGGUAAUUC